GAAAAGGAAAAUCCUACGGAGGAGGUGCUCUGAUGGCUUUGAAGAAGGCAGUGAAUGGCCGCAUGUUCCCUGAGGACAGCACAGGCUAAAGGCUCAGCUUGAAGAAAGGCACAGAGAUAGCAAGGACACUGAAGGAAUUAACCAGAAAGAAAGGAAGAGAAGAAGAAGAAGAAGAAGAAGGAGAAGGAGAAGGAGAAGACGGAAGAGGGAGAAGAGAGAGAAGAGGGGGGAGGAGGAGGAAGGAGAAAGGAGGAAGGAGGAGGAGGAGAAGGAGAAGAAGAAGAGGAG
This 288-nucleotide long non-coding RNA is filed under the name Gorilla gorilla gorilla (western lowland gorilla). Its description in RNAcentral is "lncRNA (ENSGGOG00000044606.1)". Lineage: Eukaryota; Metazoa; Chordata; Mammalia; Primates; Hominidae. The record is from RNAcentral.